RNAcentral lists this ribosomal RNA (376 nucleotides) under uncultured bacterium. RNAcentral describes it as "bacterial SSU rRNA". It matches the Rfam family "Bacterial small subunit ribosomal RNA", at positions 524 to 898 of the family's 1533-position model. The record is from RNAcentral.
UACGUAGGGUGCGAGCGUUAAUCGGAAUUACUGGGCGUAAAGCGUGCGCAGGCGGUUUUGUAAGACAGAUGUGAAAUCCCCGGGCUUAACCUGGGAACUGCGUUUGUGACUGCAAGACUUGAGUGCGGCAGAGGGGGGUGGAAUUCCACGUGUAGCAGUGAAAUGCGUAGAGAUGUGGAGGAACACCGAUGGCGAAGGCAGCCCCCUGGGUCGACACUGACGCUCAUGCACGAAAGCGUGGGUAGCAAACAGGAUUAGAUACCCUGGUAGUCCACGCCCUAAACGAUGCCAACUAGGUGUUGGGGAAGGAGACUUCCUUAGUACCGUAGCUAACGCGUGAAGUUGGCCGCCUGGGGAGUACGGUCGCAAGAUUAAA